RNAcentral lists this long non-coding RNA (6054 nucleotides) under Marmota monax (woodchuck). Lineage: Eukaryota; Metazoa; Chordata; Mammalia; Rodentia; Sciuridae. The record is from RNAcentral.
CCGUACACCCCAGUCCCUUUUUUUUUUUUUAAUUUCAAGACAGGGUUUCAUUAAGUUGCUGAAGGUCUCCCUAAAUUGCUGAAGCUGGCCUGGAAUUUGGAAUCCUCCUGCUUCAGCCUUCGCAUCACUGGGAUUACAGGAAUACGCCACCAUGCCUGACUUUAGUUUCACUCUUAUCUCUAUUUCUUUCAUUCUACUUAAUUUGGAUUUAUUUGUACUUUUUUUUCUAAGUAAUUUUAAAAGUAUUAAUUCAAUUUAUUUAUUUAUUUAGAGAUGGAGCCUAUGUUACUGUUUGGUCUUGAACUCAUGGGCUCAAGUGAUCCUUCUACCUCAGCUUCCCCUAGGAGUGGGACUAUAAGUACAUACUACCAAGUCCAGCUUUUUUCUAGAUUGUUUGUUUGCAUCGCUAGGGACCAAACCCAAGACCUCCUGCAUGUCAGGCUAGCACUAUACCACUCAGCUACAUCCCCAGCCCUUUUCUACAUCCUUAAUAUGGGAACUAAAUUAUCUUUUUUCCUUUUUCUAGUGUGUACAUUCAGUGAUACAAAUUUCUCAGCACUGCUUUAGCAGGAUCCUACCUAUUUUAAUAUGUUGUGUUUUCAUUUUCAUUCAGUUCAUUUAUUUAAAAAAAUUUCCCUUAAGACUUCAUCUUUGACACAUGGAUUAUUUAGAAAUGUGUUAUUUAGUUUCCAAAUGUUUGGAGAAUUUCCUGUUAUCUUUCUGUAAUAGACUUCUGGUUUGAUUCCACUGUGGUUAGAGAACACACUGUAUAAUUUCAAUUCUUUGAAAUUUGUUAAGAUUUUUUUCUAUGGCUCAGGAUAUGGUUCAUCUUGGUAUAUAUUCCAUGGCACUUGAAAAAUAAUGUGUAUGCUGCUGUUGUUAGAUGGAGUGUUCUGUGAGUGUUGAUCACAACCUGUUGAGUUGAGGGUAUUGUUGAGUUCUACAUUCUUCAUUUUCUGUCUAGUUGCACAGUCUAUUGUUGAGAGAUAGGCAUUGAAGUCUCCAACCACAAACAUGGAUAGGCAAGUGCUGAACCACUGAGCUAUUUUAAAAUUUUUUAAAAAUUUUAUUUUGAGACAGGGUCUUGCUAAGUUGUCCAGACUGGUCUCAAAUUUGUGAUCCUCCUGCCUCAACUUCCUGAAUAACUGGGAUUACAGGUAUGCAGCACUAUACCUGGAUUAGACCAUUAACAUUUAAGGUAAUCAGUGAUCUGUUAAGGCUUAAGUCUGCUUGUUUAUUUUUUUGUUUGUUUGUUUUAUAUUUGUUCUCUUUGUUGUUGAUUUUUCUGUUUCUGUUUUCCUAUCCUCCUAUGGGUUAUUUGACAGUUUUUUUUUUUUGUUUUUUUUUUUUUUUUUUUUUUUUUUUUUUUUUUUUUUUUUUUUUUUUUUUUUUUUUUUUUUUUUUUUUAGAAUUCUAUUUAUAUUUAUCUGUAGUUUUUUUCAAGUGCAUUUCUUUGAAUAGCUUUUUAAGUGACACAACAUCUUUGUAUGUAUGUGGUGCUGAGGAUCAAACCCGGGGCGCACGCAUGCCAGGCGAGCGCACUAUCCCUUGAGCCACAUCCCCAGCCCAAGUGUUUGCUCUUUUCUAUAUAACUUGUCACAGUCUCCUGAUGUCAUCAUUUUUCCUCCCCAUGUCAUCAUUUUACAAGUUUGAGUGAAAUAUAGAAAUCUUAUCCUCCUCUCUGUCCGUUACCCUUCCCAAUUUAUAAAUGCCUUAAAUAGUUCUUCCACAUUUAUUUACAACUUCAUUGAAUAUUGCUGCAAUUUUUAUGACAGUUGUCAAAUAUAAUUUAGAAUACUCAAGAGGAGCUUAUUUUAUUCACUGUACUUUCUUUCUUCAUAAUGUUCCAACAUUCCUUAUUUUUUGUUUACUUUCAGUUUAGAGAACUUUCUUUAGCUAUUUUUGGGAGUAGUUCUGCUGAUGACAAAGUCUUUUAGUUUUUCUUUAUCUAAGACCAUCUUUUGUUGUUUGUUUGUUUUUGUACCAGUACAGUGCAGUCCUAAUAAAAAGAAUCCUCUCAGGUCAGAAAAAAAAAAAAAAUUGAACCCAGUGACGUGUAACCAAUAAGCCACAUCCCCAGCCCUUUUUUAUAUUUUAUUUAGAGACAGGGUCUCACUGAGUUGCUUUAAGUUUCCAAGUUUAGCUUUGAAUUCAUGAUCCUCCUGGCUCAGCCUCUCCAGCUGCUGAGAUUAUAAGUGUGUGGCACCACGCCCAGCUGAGACCAUUUUGACUGCCACUCCAUUCCUGCUUUUCACUGAGUGUUAAAUUCUAGGUUAGCAAUUUUAUUGGAUUGAUUGAUUGAUUUUGCACUGAUAAGCAUUUUGACACUUCUUUCUGGCUUGCAUUGUUUCUGAUGAGAAAUCUCCUACCAUUCAAAUGAUUUUUUCCUCAUGUGUGAAGUAUCCUUUCCUCUGGCUGCUUUCAAAAUGUCUUGUCCUUCAUUUUCAGAGGUUUAUGAUGUGUCUUUGCAUGGAUAUUCUUGAGUUUGCUCAGCUCCUUGAAUCUUUAGGUUUAUGUUUCUUAUCAAAUCUGGUGAGUAUUCAGGCAUUUUUUAACAACUACCUUUUCAGCCAAGCCUUCUUUGUUCUCUCCUUCUCAAAUUUGAUGAAACAAAUAUUAGAUAUUUUGGGAUAGUCCCACAAGUCCCCAAGGCUCUCUGUUUUGUUUCCUGUCUGUAUUCUCUCUCUUGAUCAUAUUGGAUAGCUCCUUCCUGUGGUGCUGGUAUAGAACUCAGGGCCUCACACAUUGCUAGCUCUCUGCCACUGAGCUAAACCGCCAGCCCCAGAUUGGAUAUUUCCAUGGUUUUAUCUUCUAGUUCAGUGAUUUUUUUUUUUAAUUCUGUUAUAUCUAGUCUGCUGUUAAGCCUGUUCACUAAUAUUUUAGUCAUCGCAUUUUUCAGUUCUAAAACUUCCAUUUAAAUCUUAUUUAUAUCUUUUAUUGCUUUGCUGAAUGCUUUCUUUUUGUUUCUAAAGUGUGUAAUUGUUCAUUGAGAUAUAUUUAUCAUGGGUAUUGUUAAGUAAUUCUAACAUCUCUGCUAUAUCAGUGCUGACAUGUAUUGAUUGACUUUUUUUAGUUUGUGAUCUAACAGCUGCUAAAUUGAUUUUCAAUGAAAAUUGAAUAUCUUUAUAUUGUAAUAAGAUUCUGGAUCUUAUUUAAACCUGCUGUUUUAAUUGGCUUUCUUUGACACUCACUGCUCUGGCAGGGGAGAAUGGAGAUUCUACCUCACUACUAUUAGGUAGAGGGAGAAGUACAGGUACUCCCAUUAAGUCCCCCUUAAUACCUGAGGGUGGAGGUGUUCCUCCUUAAUGGUGAGCAAGGUAGAAGUUCCAUUUCUCCAUAUGACACUCCAGAAGGGGAGAUCUCAUUAACACUGGGUGAUGGCAAAAGUCCUUACUCUUCAUUAGGCUUCCUGUGACACCACCCCAGCAGAGAAGGGAAUGGGCAUCUCUACUGCUGGGCAAGCUGGAAGUCCAGACCCUUAUAGUCCCCACUUACAUCAGGAGGGUAGGAAAAUUCAUUAUCAGAUGUAAGAAAUGAAAGUUUCAGUUCCCUUACUAGCCUUCUCAUAUACCAUGAUGGGUGGUGUCAGGACAUGUGUUUGUUUUUUAAUAUUUUUUAGUUGUAGAUGGACAUGGUACCUUUAUUUCAUUUAUUUAUUUGAAUGUGGUGCUGAGGAUUGAAUCCAAUGCCUCACCAUACUAGGCAACACUCCUCACCUUCCACCCAGUUUUUGCUGGGAUGACUGGAGGUGGGGCUCUUUUAUUUUUCCCCUCUCUCCUGUAUUGUUUGGAUGGAGUAGAGCAGUUAUUGUCUAAAGGUUUUCUCUUUGCUAAGCUGAACUUUCCUGGUCCUUUGGCUAAAGAGAGCAGGCUUUUGUUGAGGCUUUUUUUUUUUUUCUUUUCUUGUCUGCACCCAUUGGCAUUUAGAGUUGCCAAGUCUUCUUUAGCUCCAAGUCUGAGAUGUAUCAGGUUAAAAGAAAACGAAUUACCUUGUCAUCCCUCAUGUCCUGAAGACCCUAGCUACCCAGCCUUCUCUUCAACUUUCAAAAUCUUCCUAUAUUUUUAAUAAAUCUUGUUCAGGGAGUUUUAAUUAAACUAAGAGGAAUGGGGACAAGUACAUCUGUUCUAUCCUCCCAGAAGUUGAAGUUCUCGCUAGCAAUUUUAAAAAGGCAUAUCUGACCAUGUGAUUCACUUGGUUAAAACCUCCAAUGGCACCAUUCACUAAGGAUAAACACCAAAUUAUGCUUCAUUAAAAGGUCUUCUGCAGCCUGGGCUUUACCAUGAUAAGGUACUGUAGUGAUGGUGGUGAUACAUAAUUAACAAUCAACUUUGGGAAGUAGGGGGAACCUUAAUGUGUAACAUUUGCUGAUUUCUCUGAUGUAAAUCCUACAAUUGUGACUGAUUUCAAGCCACCAAGAUGAAAUCAUUAAAUAUGAAGAAAAAUGCUAAAAAUUGACUCAUAUACAUCAUUGCAAAUUUACAUUAUGUCAUUUUCUUUUUAAAUUUUUAAAAAAUAUUUAUUUUUUAGUUGUAGUUGGACAUAAUACCUUUAUUAUUUAUUUAUUUAUUUAUUGUGGUGCUAAUGCUAAGGAUAGAACCCAGGGCCUUGUACGUGCUAGGUGAGCGCUCUACGGCUGAACAACAACCCCAGACUGUCAUUCUCUUUUUAUACUCCAGCCAUUCCAGAUUUCUUUCUUUCUUUUUUUUUUUUUUAAUAUAUUUUUUAGUUGUUGAUGGACCUUUUUUUUAAACUUUUUUUAAUAUUUAUUUUUCAGUUUUCGGCGGACACAACAUCUUUGUUUGUAUGUGGUGCUGAGGAUCGAACCUGGGCCGCACGCAUGCCAGGCGAGCGCACUACUGCUUGAGCCACAUCCCCAGCCCCAUUCCAGAUUUCUUUAAGAGUGCACUAUGCUCUCUCCAGCAUCUAGUCAUUUCUGCAUGGUGUUCCCUCUAGAUCAUACACAGUGGAAUGCCACCUUUUUCCACAAUCCUGUGUGUGUAUGUGCGCGUGCGUGUGUGUGUGUGUGUGUGUGUGUGUGUGUGUGUGAGUGAUGGAGAGCAUGAGUGCCAGCCUGCACCAGCUCAAAAGAGCGAUUUUUAAAUUUUCAGUAAUUUUAUAUGCUGGCUGUUAGAGUUACAAAUCAGAACUUGUUUUAGGAGUUGUUUUUGAUGCCUGUAAUCCCAGCUACUCAGGAGGCUGAGGCAGGAGGAUUUCAACUUCAAGACCAGCCUGGGCAACCUAGCAAGACCUUAUCUCAAAAAACAACAACAAAAAGAGCUGGUUUUGAAACACUUACCAGCAUACCACUGUCCCCAUUUUUGUUUGUCUCAUUGGCUCAUUCUUCAGUCCUAAACCAUUUCCUCUAAAACGACUUCCUCUGAUCCUCAAACUUGCUUUCUGCCUCAAAAUUCCUUGUACUUCCCAUUUCCUAAAAUUCAUUGGAAUUAUCAUUAGUGAGCUGUUGUCUGACUGCUACUAAUACCAUACAUUCAAUGAUAAAAGGAGUAUUUUGCAAAUAAAUACUUAAAAUGUCAGAUGCCUUUUUAUCUAGGUCAGCAUGCUAUAAUAGACACACAGCAGGUUCUGUAGAUAUUUUACAAAUAUCUGUUGAAUAAAUCUGUGGAUGCAAGAAAUAAAACUAAAGUAAGAUUAUAACCACCCUCAGAGUUAUACAAAAGUACAUACAAGAGGAAGUGAGGGGAAGGGGAAAAAUAAUAUAAGGGGGACAAACGAAUGUCAGUAGAGGGAGCAGAGAGAGAAGAGGGGAGGGGAGGGGAGGGGAGGGGAGGGGGGAUAGUAGAGGAUAGGAAAGGCAGCAGAAUACAACAGACACUAGUAUGGCAAUAUGUAAAUCAAUGGAUGUGUAACUGAUGUGAUUCUGCAAUCUGUAUAUGGGGUAAAAAUGGGAGCUCAUAACCCACUUGAAUCAAAUUGUGAAAUAUGAUAUAUCAAGAACUAUGUAAUGUUUUGAACAGCCAACAAUAAAAAAUUAAAAAAAAAAAAGAUUAUAACCUAUUACAUUAUAAACUGAGUGAAAUGAUGAAGGAUAGAAAU